UACGGAGGGUGCGAGCGUUGUCCGGAAUCACUGGGCGUAAAGGGCGCGUAGGUGGCUACUCAAGCGCGCGGUGAAAGCCCGGGGCUCAACCCCGGGUCGGCCGUGCGGACUGGGAGGCUCGAGCACUGUAGGGGCGGGUGGAAUUCCGGGUGUAGCGGUGGAAUGCGCAGAUAUCAGGAGGAACACCAAUGGCGAAGGCAGCUCGCUGGGACGGUACUGACGCUGAGGCGCGAAAGCGUGGGGAGCAAACAGG
Molecule: ribosomal RNA, 253 nt
Filed under: uncultured bacterium
Lineage: Bacteria
Description: partial 16S ribosomal RNA
Rfam family: Bacterial small subunit ribosomal RNA
Source: RNAcentral